UACGGGGGGUGCGAGCGUUAUUCGGAAUUAUUGGGCGUAAAGGGCGCGCAGGCGGUUGAAUAAGUCAGGUGUGAAAGCCCUUGGCUUAACCAAGGAAGUGCAUUUGAUACUAUUUGACUUGAGUAUGGGAGAGGGAAGUGGGAUUCCUGGUGUAGAGGUGAAAUUCGUAGAGAUCAUGAGGAACACCGGUGGCGAAAGCGACUUCCUGGACCAAUACUGACGCUGAGGCGCGAAGGAGUGGUGAGCAAACAGG
Molecule: ribosomal RNA, 253 nt
Filed under: uncultured bacterium
Lineage: Bacteria
Description: partial 16S ribosomal RNA
Rfam family: Bacterial small subunit ribosomal RNA
Source: RNAcentral